RNAcentral lists this ribosomal RNA (367 nucleotides) under uncultured Pseudomonas sp. Its description in RNAcentral is "bacterial SSU rRNA". It matches the Rfam family "Bacterial small subunit ribosomal RNA", at positions 1017 to 1382 of the family's 1533-position model. The record is from RNAcentral. Lineage: Bacteria; Pseudomonadati; Pseudomonadota; Gammaproteobacteria; Pseudomonadales; Pseudomonadaceae.
CCUUCGGGAACUCUGACACAGGUGCUGCAUGGCUGUCGUCCUAGCUCGUGUCGUGAGAUGUUGGGUUAAGUCCGUAACGAGCGCAACCCUUGUCCUUAGUUACCAGCACGUUAUGGUGGGCACUCUAAGGAGACUGCCGGUGACAAACCGGAGGAAGGUGGGGAUGACGUCAAGUCAUCAUGGCCCUUACGGCCUGGGCUACACACGUGCUACAAUGGUCGGUACAAAGGGUUGCCAAGCCGCGAGGUGGAGCUAAUCCCAUAAAACCGAUCGUAGUCCGGAUCGCAGUCUGCAACUCGACUGCGUGAAGUCGGAAUCGCUAGUAAUCGUGAAUCAGAAUGUCACGGUGAAUACGUUCCCGGGCCUU